CUUGCAGUCUCCUCCCCAGGUUUCUCCCGUGGUGGGAGCAGACUAUAUUCCAAAGCAGACUUUUAAGCCUUGCCCAGACCUCUGCCCUGCCGACAAGCGCUAACUGAAAAGGCACCACCAGUGUUAUUUCCAGCCAAAACAAUGUCCAAUCAAUCGCAAAGACUGACUGCUACUCAGCCCUGUGCAGAACACUGGUUCAACUGCACACACAACCCCAGUGGGGUAAUCAGGGUUUUUUAAACAGAUUUGCCAACUGCACGAGCGCCCUGUCAGACACAGAAAAAGAAAAGGCCGAAAUGAACACAAAAGCGUGUUUUGCUCCUUGUUUACAGCCUGCAUCAGGGGUACUCCACAGGAGCCUUAUCUACCACCCGGCAACAUUUCAUAUUUUAAUCUGCCUUAGUUCAAUAACGAACAGGUACAAAAAUAUUUACAAGGAUGCAAACAAGGCAUUAAACUGCCUAAAGAUGAAGGUGUGGAAGACAAGACUCCAGCUAAAAGAAGAAGGUCCUUUAAUAUGGUUUGGACAGUUCGUUUUAAGUAUGGAAAUUGAAUGCGUUCCAACCCUUCUAUAAUUUGCGUGCAUGCUGUUCCUGACAUGGCCUGUCAUUCAAGUGCUUAAUAAACACAUACUUCUAACAUG
Lacerta agilis (Sand lizard) is the source of this 643-nucleotide long non-coding RNA. RefSeq lists it as uncharacterized. The record is from RefSeq and is a predicted model, not a curated record. Lineage: Eukaryota; Metazoa; Chordata; Lepidosauria; Squamata; Lacertidae. The transcript is spliced from 2 exons.